GACGAGGUGAACGAGUGGUUAAGGUGAGGGACUGCUAAUCCAUUGUGCAUUGCAUGCGUGGGUUCGAAUCCCAUCUUCAUCG
RNAcentral lists this transfer RNA (82 nucleotides) under Daphnia magna. It matches the Rfam family "tRNA". From Rfam's summary of the family: Transfer RNA (tRNA) molecules are approximately 80 nucleotides in length. Their secondary structure includes four short double-helical elements and three loops (D, anti-codon, and T loops). The record is from Rfam by way of RNAcentral. Lineage: Eukaryota; Metazoa; Arthropoda; Branchiopoda; Diplostraca; Daphniidae.